Molecule: long non-coding RNA, 509 nt
Filed under: Scleropages formosus (Asian bonytongue)
Lineage: Eukaryota; Metazoa; Chordata; Actinopteri; Osteoglossiformes; Osteoglossidae
Description: lncRNA (ENSSFOG00015030763.1)
Source: RNAcentral
AUCCCUUGACCUAAUAGCCUUCACGCUCUCUUAAUUACGUCAUGCCCAGUGUUGUGUUGUUUUUUUCUCUUUCCAGGAAGCCUUGUGUGAGUGGUAAUCGGCUAGAGGAUAUAACCAGCCCUCAGGGAGGUUGUUCUGGUAGUCUGGAGGAGAUGGCGUACAGGAUGGCAGUACUGCUGCUGAGCGGAUUCCUCCUGCUCUCCCUCUGCAGACCUACGCUUCAGAAAGGAGUGUACUUCUCUACAAGAACUGGAGUUGGAACUGAGGAAAGACCAGGAGUUGCAGUUGGGACCAGAAUAGAAGGUGGAUAUGACCUAAGAGGGGCUGGAAUUGGUGGAGUAGCUCCUGGUAGAGAAGGAACUGGUGGACUAGGACUUACUGGAGUUGGACCUGGUAUUCUGGUACCUGGUGGAGUUGGACCAAGGGGUGUAGGAGUUGGUGGACUUGAAUCGGGUAAAGGAGCUUGUUGUCAAAUAGCACACUUUCAAUUAUUUUUAUUUUUUUUAUAG